RNAcentral lists this ribosomal RNA (468 nucleotides) under uncultured bacterium. RNAcentral describes it as "partial 16S ribosomal RNA". It matches the Rfam family "Bacterial small subunit ribosomal RNA", at positions 28 to 507 of the family's 1533-position model. The record is from RNAcentral.
GACGAACGCUGGCGGCGUGCUUAACACAUGCAAGUCGAACGGAAAGGCCCUGCUUUUGUGGGGUGCUCGAGUGGCGCACGGGUGUGUAACAUGUGAGUAACCUUCCCUUGACUUUGUGAUAACUUCAGGCAACUGGUGCUAAUACCUGCUUGGUGCUCCUGCUGCUUGGUGGGGGUCGGACAGUUUCGGCGGUUGUGGAUGGACUUGCGGCUUACUAGCUUGUUGGUGGGGUAGUGGCUUACCAAGGCUUUGACGGGUAGUCGGCCUGAGAGGUGGAACGGCGACAAGGGGACUGAGAGACGGACCAGACGCGUACGGGAGGCAGAAGUGGGGAAUAUUGCACAAUGGGCGGAAGCGUGAUGCAACAGCGCCGCGUGCGGGAAGACGGCCUUGGGGGUGUAAAGCGCUGUCGCCUGUGACGAAGCGGGAGUGACGGUAAUGGGAAAAGAAGCACCGGCUAACUACGUG